RNAcentral lists this ribosomal RNA (301 nucleotides) under uncultured Arcobacter sp. RNAcentral's name for it is "bacterial SSU rRNA". The stretch from base 53 to 301 matches the Rfam family "Bacterial small subunit ribosomal RNA", at positions 547 to 795 of the family's 1533-position model. Lineage: Bacteria; Pseudomonadati; Campylobacterota; Epsilonproteobacteria; Campylobacterales; Arcobacteraceae. The record is from RNAcentral.
AUGUAAACCUGUUAAGAAGUGUGGUGUAAUACAGAAGGUGAAAUCUGUUAAUGGAAUGUGUUGGCGUGCAGCAUGCUUAGGCGUGUUAUUAAGUUAGAGUUGAAAUGCCUAGACGCAACCUUGUAACUGUAUUUGAAAUGUAUAAAAUAUAGGAUCUUAGAGGGAGGUAUAAAUUCAGGUGUAGCGGUGAAAUGCGUAGAUAUCUGGAGGAAUACCAGUGGCGAAGGCGACCUCCUGGACUAUAACUGACGCUCAAGCACGAAAGCAUGGGGAACAAACAGGAUUAGUUACCCAAGUAGUC